UCGAUUUCCGAUUGUCGAUUCAGUUUUUGGUUUUUUAGAGUGGAAACGAGUUAUUGUGUAGGCCUUUUGAAAUAGGCAGAACUUGUAGAACAAAAUCAACCCUCAUCGCCUGCUUUAAUUAGAGUGUAUAAUUUCUUGUGUUUAGCAGUUUCCAUUGCUUUCGUUUAAUUUUCCUCUUAAUUUUGUCCGUUUAUUCGCAGCGCGAAUCUACAUCUCAUCUACAAAAUUUCAAUGAACGUGUAAACGAACAAACAAGGCAACAACAAAGCGGUAGGGCUCUUUCAAAUUUAAGUGUCUUAUAAUCCGAUCAUCAAAACAAGGCGAAUCUAUUCAAAGUGGUAGCAUUCGAGCAUGAAUAACAUUUUUUUUUGGCGAAUUUGACGGAAGAGCACAGAAAAUAAACAAACGUUUGCGCGUAGUUAUUUGCUGCUUGUGAAUCAGAGAAAAUAAUUAAAUUUUUAAAUUCAACAAUAAAACAUGAAGUGUUAAAUUGCAUAAGAACGAAACAACUUUUUUUAUUUGCUUCCGCUAUUCUUCCAUUUCUUUUCGAUUGUUGCGUUUCUGUGCUGUCAUCACGGCCUUGGCAGUGCGCAAUCUUGUAUUCUAUCAUUCUUGCUUCGCCACAACAAAUUCAACGUAAAAGAAAUUCUAGAAAUAUUUACUUGCCCACGCUGAAAACACAAAUGCCGAAGAAAAAGCAACACACCAAACGACAGCAAAACAGAAAAUGAUAAAAAGCAAAGAAAGCGCCGGGCAGUGCAACAUAAGUGGAUGGUAUGUAAGGCGAAUAGAUUACAGAAGGUGGUGUCUUCUGAAAACACAACUUUUUCUCCCGAUUUUAACAUCUGGCUACCUCUGCACUUUAAAUGGCAAAACAAUUAAACAAAACGAACAAAAGAAAGAUAAAUUCUUGUUUGUAAAUGUUUAGCGAAUUACUUGUUAAUAUUCCGAUUUGUUGUUUAUAUGCGGCUGAUGCCGUGGCAAGAAAGUGUGUGUGUCUUACUAGAGUUGAAUUGAAAUUGAUUACUGAGAAUGUAAAGAGAAUCGAAAGAGGACAAAUCGCUUUUAAAGCAUGGAAUCAUAUAAAAACAGUCUAAAACUAAACAGAAACUCCAACAGAGAAUGAGAAAAGUUACUUUCAAGGACUCGUUUUAAACCAGAAGAAGGAGGAGAAAAAAUAAAAAAGCGACUGGUGGCGUUCUACUUUUAGUGGAACGGUGUCGGUCCAAUUUAUCGUAUGGAAGAGAGAAUGGAUGCGGCCAACUACAUUCAGAUACUUCAAAGUGUAAUGCUACCUUUUGCCGAAGAAAAUUUACUGAUGAUUUGAAAAUUUCAAUAAGACAAUGAUCCGAAACAUAAUUCUCGUGUUGCAAAAAUGGUUCCGGUGUUCCGGAUUGGACACCUUCGAGUGGCGAUUUAAAUCGAAUGAAACAUCUUUGGAAGAACGUAAAAAACGCACUCAGUACGCAAAAUAUCAGAAACUUGGAUCGACUAUUUGGAAAGAUCAAGGCAGCAUGGGAAUCCAUUCGAGUUGAGCAUUGUAGAUGUUUAAUAAUGCCAAUUCAAAGGCGCUGUGCAGCGGUAAUAAAGCAAAAAGGAUUUUUAACUAAA
Molecule: long non-coding RNA, 1611 nt
Organism: Anastrepha obliqua
Lineage: Eukaryota; Metazoa; Arthropoda; Insecta; Diptera; Tephritidae
Exons: 2
Source: RefSeq, a predicted model, not a curated record